AGAGUUUGAUCAUGGCUCAGAGUGAACGCUGGCGGCGUGCCUAACACAUGCAAGUCGAACGAGAACGGGUUAAAGUUUACUUUAACUGUCAGCUAAGUGGCGCACGGGUGAGUAAUAUAUAGUUAAUCUGCCCCAAAGAAGAGAAUAAUUGUUGGAAACGACUUGUAACUCUCUAUAUGCCUUUAUCACAAAAGUGAGCAAGGGAAACAUUUAUGGCUUUGGGAUGAGACUGUACGGUAUCAGUUAGUUGGUAAGGUAAUGGCUUACCAAGACUAUGACGCCUAACUGGUUUGAGAGGAUGAUCAGUCACACUGGAACUGAGACACGGUCCAGACUCCUACGGGAGGCAGCAGUGGGGAAUAUUGCACAAUGGAGGAAACUCUGAUGCAGCAACGCCGCGUGGAGGAUGACACAUUUCGGUGCGUAAACUCCUUUUAUAUGAGAAGAUAAUGACGGUAUCAUAUGAAUAAGCACCGGCUAACUCCGUGCCAGCAGCCGCGGUAAUACGGGGGGUGCAAGCGUUACUCGGAAUCACUGGGCGUAAAGAGCAUGUAGGCGGAUAGAUAAGUUGGAAGUGAAAUCCUAUGGCUUAACCAUAGAACUGCUUCCAAAACUGUCUAUCUAGAAUAUGGGAGAGGUAGAUGGAAUUUCUGGUGUAGGGGUAAAAUCCGUAGAGAUCAGAAGGAAUACCGAUUGCGAAGCGAUCUACUGGGACAUUAUUGACGCUCAGAUGCGAAAGCGUGGGGAGCAAACAGGAUUAGAUACCCUGGUAGUCCACGCCCUAAACGAUGCACACUAGUUGUUGCCUUGCUAGACAAGGCAGUAAUGCAGUUAACACAGUAAGUGUGCCGCCUGGGGAGUACGGUCGCAAGAUUAAAACUCAAAGGAAUAGACGGGGACCCGCACAAGCGGUGGAGCAUGUGAUUUAAUUCGACGAUACGCGAAGAACCUUACCUGGCCUUGACAUAGAGAGAACUUACUAGAGAUAGUUUGGUGCUAGCUUGCUAGAACUUUCAUACAGGUGCUGCACGGCUGUCGUCAGCUCGUGUCGUGAGAUGUUGGGUUAAGUCCCGCAACGAGCGCAACCCUCGUGUUUAGUUACUAACAGUUCGGCUGAGGACUCUAGACAGACUGCCUACGCAAGUAGGAGGAAGGUGAGGACGACGUCAAGUCAUCAUGGCCCUUACGGCCAGGGCUACACACGUGCUACAAUGGGGUAUACAAAGAGCCGCAAUACCGUGAGGUGGAGCAAAUCUCAUAAAAUGCCUCCCAGUUCGGAUUGUAGUCUGCAACUCGACUACAUGAAGUUGGAAUCGCUAGUAAUCGUAGAUCAGCUAUGCUACGGUGAAUACGUUCCCGGGUCUUGUACUCACCGCCCGUCACACCAUGGGAGUUGAUUUCAUUCGAAGCGGGGAUGCUAAAAUAGCUACCUUCCACAGUGGAAUUAGCGACUAGGGUGAAGUCGUAACAAGGUAUCCGUA
RNAcentral lists this ribosomal RNA (1481 nucleotides) under uncultured bacterium. RNAcentral describes it as "bacterial SSU rRNA". It matches the Rfam family "Bacterial small subunit ribosomal RNA". The record is from RNAcentral.